Non-coding RNA from Pelobates cultripes (western spadefoot toad), 87 nucleotides. NCBI's taxonomy places the organism in Eukaryota, Metazoa, Chordata, Amphibia, Anura, Pelobatidae. The record is from the annotation of a GenBank genome assembly.
UAAGGUGUUUUAAUGGAAGAGGUAAUUUUAUUUGAAGAGUCUCUUUUAGACUCUUCAAAUAAAAUUACCUCUUCCAUUAAAACACCU